AGUCUGAUGGCCUCCUGUGUUCACGACGUGGGAGGAGGAGGACGGCACGGCGGGGUGAACCACUGGCCGCUCCUCACAUUUCCAUUUUUUUUUGUUUUUUUGGAUCUUUAUAUCCGGACGGCCGGCUCAUCCCGGUCUCCGCUGGACCAACAGGAUCGCCGCCGGCUUAUGCUUGACGACCACCUACGAUCACCGCAAGGGUGGUGGAGGUGGGCUUGGCAAGGGAAUCGCCGCCUUCCCUUUUAUUUGGCCUCUCUCUUUUUUUGUCUUUUGUUUUUGUUUGAAACUCGAUGGAAGCAGAGAGAAGAGCACGCGACCAGCACCUCCGCUCAUUGGGAUCACCGUCGACCUCUUCCAGAUAGCCGCAAGUGACCAAUCCGGCCACCGCAUGAGAGGAGGGAAGAGGCACGGUGGCGGGACCCACCAUCCCUCAAUUUUUUUUUUUCUUUUGUGUUUUUGUUUGAUGUGGAUCCGAAUGGGAACUCGGGUGGGAUUCACCGCCAGCUCUUCCCGGAGGCCGCCGGAGCUCGAUCCCCAAACGCCGG
RNAcentral lists this long non-coding RNA (545 nucleotides) under Elaeis guineensis (African oil palm). Its description in RNAcentral is "long non-coding RNA (EGUI_LNC025850)". Lineage: Eukaryota; Viridiplantae; Streptophyta; Magnoliopsida; Arecales; Arecaceae. The record is from RNAcentral.